UUCUUAUUCAGAGAGGUGGAGGGAAUUGGCCCUUAGAAGCCUCGGCAGCGGACUAUUGAUAGUACUGUGCCAAAUCCAACAAGCAGGUAAGCUUGAAAAAUAAGAA
RNAcentral lists this non-coding RNA (106 nucleotides) under Virgibacillus pantothenticus. RNAcentral's name for it is "SAM-I sequence". It matches the Rfam family "SAM riboswitch aptamer (S box leader)". Rfam says of the family: The SAM riboswitch is found upstream of a number of genes which code for proteins involved in methionine or cysteine biosynthesis in Gram-positive bacteria. The SAM riboswitch acts at the level of transcription termination control. Lineage: Bacteria; Bacillati; Bacillota; Bacilli; Caryophanales; Bacillaceae. The record is from Rfam by way of RNAcentral.